GUGUUUUAUCUAGAUGAUG
This 19-nucleotide small nuclear RNA is filed under the name Arabidopsis thaliana (thale cress). Its description in RNAcentral is "snRNA_06221". The record is from RNAcentral. Lineage: Eukaryota; Viridiplantae; Streptophyta; Magnoliopsida; Brassicales; Brassicaceae.